CAGUCGCCACGGUAAUACGAAGGGUGCAAGCGUUAAUCGGAAUUACUGGGCGUAAAGCGUGCGUAGGCGGUUUGUUAAGUCUGUUGUAAAAUCCCCGGGCUCAACCUGGGAAUGGCAAUGGAUACUGGCAAGCUAGAGUGUGUCAGAGGAUGGUGGAAUUCCCGGUGUAGCGGUGAAAUGCGUAGAGAUCGGGAGGAACAUCAGUGGCGAAGGCGGCUUACUGGCUCAUACUGGACGCUGAGGCACGAAAGCGUGGGGAGCAAACAGGAUUAGAUACCCCUGUAGUCCCUGUCUCUUAUAC
This 301-nucleotide ribosomal RNA is filed under the name uncultured bacterium. RNAcentral's name for it is "partial 16S ribosomal RNA". It matches the Rfam family "Bacterial small subunit ribosomal RNA", at positions 509 to 807 of the family's 1533-position model. The record is from RNAcentral.